Molecule: ribosomal RNA, 881 nt
Filed under: marine metagenome
Description: bacterial SSU rRNA
Rfam family: Bacterial small subunit ribosomal RNA
Source: RNAcentral
CCUAACACAUGCAAGUCGAGCGCGAACGCUCCUUCGGGAGUUAUUAGAGCGGCGCACGGGUGAGUAACACGUGGGUAAUCUACCCUAAGGUCCGGAAUAACUCCUGGAAACAGAAGCUAAUACCGGAUGAGACCACAGAGUGCUUCUCUGUGGGAAAAGGCGGGGAUCUUUCGGGACCUGUCGCCAUAGGAUGAGCCCGCGUUCCAUCAGGUAGUUGGCGGGGUAAAGGCCCACCAAGCCUAAGACGGAUAGCUGGUCUGAGAGGAUGAUCAGCCACACUGGAACUGAGACACGGUCCAGACUCCUACGGGAGGCAGCAGUGGGGAAUAUUGGUCAAUGGGCGAAAGCCUGAACCAGCAAUGUCACGUGAGUGAAGAAUGCCUUCGGGUUGUAAAGCUCUGUCAGGAGGGAAGAAGAUUUAAGCUUGCUUAAAUUUGACGGUACCUUCAAAGGAAGCACCGGCUAACUCUGUGCCAGCAGCCGCGGUAAUACAGAGGGUGCAAGCGGUGUUCGGAAUUAUUGGGCGUAAAGCGCGCGUAGGCGGCUACAUAAGUCUGACGUGAAAGCCCGGGGCUCAACCCCGGAAGUGCAUCGGAAACUACAUAACUAGAGUCCCGGAGAGGAUGGUGGAAUUCCAGGUGUAGAGGUGAAAUUCGUAGAUAUCUGGAGGAACAUCAGUGGCGAAGGCGGCCAUCUGGACGGUGACUGACGCUGAGGUGCGAAAGCGUGGGUAGCGAACAGGAUUAGAUCCCCUGGUAGUCCACGCCGUAAACGAUGGAUACUAGGCGCAGCGGGUAUUGACCCCUGCAGUGCCGAAGCUAACGCAUUAAGUAUCCCGCCUGGGAAGUACGGCCGCAAGGUUAAAACUCAAAGGAAUUGAC